Long non-coding RNA from Amaranthus tricolor (Joseph's coat), 1260 nucleotides. RefSeq lists it as uncharacterized. The record is from RefSeq and is a predicted model, not a curated record. Lineage: Eukaryota; Viridiplantae; Streptophyta; Magnoliopsida; Caryophyllales; Amaranthaceae. The transcript is spliced from 3 exons.
UGGCCUUAACAUUACAAGUAUUCAUAUUCUCCUCAAAAACCCCUCAUCCGUCUUCUAUUUCCUCAUGAUUCUCUGUAAUCUUGAGGUAGUAAUGCAAUGUUCGACUCCUGUGAAGCCUUGAAGCAACUUUUUCCCUCUCCUUGUGACAGAAUCGGGCAGCCAUCAAACCCCACCUUCUUCCUCUUCUUCCAUCUAUUAUUCAUCUUCUUCAUUUGCCCCUUUUUCCCAAAACCCUUACAUUUUCGAAAACCCCAAUCAUCUUCCUUUCAUUCUUGAUUUCGAAGCAAACUAGCAACCAAAAACAUGAUCUCAUUCUGUCUCGGUUUUGAAUUGUAGUUAAACCCAGUUUCUCUCAUCUUUUCUGAAUUUCGAGAGUGCUUUUGGCAAAUACAAGAACCAUUAUCUAAUUUCUUGGGUUGAUUUCUUUGGUGUACGACUGGGUCAGUGUAGGUGCAAGCUGAGGCAACAUCUCAAGGCUAAAUUCAUGCAGUCUAUCUUUCUAAAGAACCAAAUAUUAACAUUUCCUCAGGUUUCCUAUGAUUUCUCGGCCAAUCAACAGCAACUUCCUUCGUUUCGGUUGCCACUGGUUUCGAAGUGGAAACGAUUUCUCUGCGCGCUCUUUCUAGUUGAUAGCUGCGAAUCGAUCACAGCUCUUUGAAGCGUCUUGUUGUUUGAUCACAGAUCGAAACCGAUCGGGAACGAUGGGUUAGCGAUGCUGAAUAACGUUCCAAGGAUGUAUAUUGAGUUAAGCACGUAGGAAUUUGUAGGUUUGUAUUAGGAUUUUGGAUAAAUGUAUAUUAGAUUUGGUUGUGUUGGUUAUAUUGGACUUGUAGAGGAAUGUAUGAUUAUCUUGUGUGUUAGUAAAAUGUUUGGUUUGAGAUUUAGCUGAGUUAGUCACGUUAAAGAGCUUGUGACCCUUUGCUCAAGUUUUGGAAGUGUGAUUUCAAUUUCUUGGGAAAUGAACCCCGUGAUGACCCUGUUUACUCAGUCAACGGUAAGUCGGGUUGUUACAGUUAAUCGUCCUCGUUUUUAAUUGAAACAUCGGUUAAUGAAGUGUUUUGAGUACUGGAAGUGCUUGUUGGUUCAUUUGUUAUGUAAUAUGGAGUGUUAAAUUAUUUUAAUGCAGGGUAUGAAAUGUUUAAUGUUCAAGAGUUUGAGGUAAAAUAGGAAAAAUGCUGCAGACAAAACCGUCAUUUAAAGUGGCGGUUUAUAUGUAAGGUGAACUGCCAUUUGCAGUAGCGGUUAAUCAAUUUGCAAAAA